Molecule: long non-coding RNA, 140 nt
Organism: Sinocyclocheilus grahami
Lineage: Eukaryota; Metazoa; Chordata; Actinopteri; Cypriniformes; Cyprinidae
Exons: 3
Source: RefSeq, a predicted model, not a curated record
GAUGGAUACAUCAAAAGUCAUUACACUUAAAUCAAAUUGUGAUGUGGACUAGUGUCUGUACAUAUUAAGCCUCAAAAAGACUAUUUCAAUAUAAAUCCUGCAUGUUCUGCAUGUCUGUGUGAUGAGUGGUGCAGACGCGU